GACUAACGCUAACGGUGUGCUUAAUACAUGCAAGUCGAACGAGCAAUGUGAGAGUGGCAACACUCCUGCAAAGCUAGUGGCGAACGGGUGAGUAACGCGUAGGUAAUCUACCUUGAAGAUUAGGAUAACCUUCCGAAAGGAAGGCUAAUACUAAAAUUUUAUAUUUUUCGUAUGAUUAAUAUAACAAAGGUAGCCGCAAGGCCUCCGCUUUAAGAUGAACCUGCGUCCUAUUAGCUUGUUGGUAAGGUAAUGGCUUACCAAGGCUAUGAUGGGUAGCCGGCCUGAGAGGGUGAUCGGCCACACUGGGACUGAGAUACGGCCCAGACUCCUACGGGAGGCAGCAGUAGGGAAUAUUGCGCAAUGGGCGAAAGCCUGACGCAGCGACACCGUGUGAAGGAUGAAGGUCUUCGGAUCGUAAACUUCUGUCAAUCGGGGACGAAGGUAAUAAGGUUAAUAGCCUUUAUUAUUGACGGUACCCAAUAAGGAAGUCUCGGCUAACUCCGUGCCAGCAGCCACGGUAAGACGGAGGAGGCAAGCGUUGUCCGGAAUCAUUGGGCGUAAAGAGCGCGUAGGCGGUUUUUCAAGUCGUAUGUGAAAACUUCAGGCUUAACCUGAUGAUUGCAUAUGAAACUGGAUAACUUGAGUACAGCAGAGGAAAGUGGAAUUCCUGGUGUAGCGGUGAAAUGUGCAGAUAUCAGGAAGAACACCGGUAGCGAAGGCGGCUUUCUGGGCUGUUACUGACGCUGAGGCGCGAAAGCUA
Molecule: ribosomal RNA, 760 nt
Filed under: uncultured bacterium
Lineage: Bacteria
Description: bacterial SSU rRNA
Rfam family: Bacterial small subunit ribosomal RNA
Source: RNAcentral